CUGUGUGUAAUACUGGUGUUYGAGACGUGACAGAUCCACAGCCAUAUUUUAAAAAAAGAGGUUGGCAUAUUCAUGAGAAUGCAAAGUUACAAAAAAUAUUUGAAGACUGGAGAAAAUGCAGAAAAUGGCCACAGCAUAUCGGGAAGUGAUGAAUGACCUGUGAUACCUGGGAGUCUGGCUUCAUGAACAGCUGCUUCCUGUGAAUAUUUCAUGGAGUCAGUUGCUGCCCCAGGAGACACAAGCACUGGAAGCUGGCUCUGCCAGGUGUAGCCACUACUUGGAUCGAACUCCCCAUCUGGGUGGGAGUAGAAGCAUAAGCACUGCCCAGGAAGGAAUUUUGCAGGAGACAGGAUCCAAAUGUAUCUCAUCUUCAGUAUCUGAAGCUGGACGAGUCAAGGAGUACCCACAUUUAAUCAAAGAGGUAGCUACAAUUCCUGCCAAACUUUCCUGUAUUUCUCCUCACAAUUUUACUGGCUUAUAGCCAUUCUUCAUUGGGAGCUUACUUCCAACUUAUUUUCUGUGCAACACAUC
This 531-nucleotide long non-coding RNA is filed under the name Dromaius novaehollandiae (emu). RNAcentral describes it as "lncRNA (ENSDNVG00000011788.1)". The record is from RNAcentral. Lineage: Eukaryota; Metazoa; Chordata; Aves; Casuariiformes; Dromaiidae.